CUUGUUUCUUGGCCUUUUGGCUAAGUUCAUAUGUAGUAUCUGUUCUUAUCAGUUUAAUAUCUGACUUCAAACAUAGAUAUUCAAAAAGUCAUGGUGGAAGGAUUUUACCAUAC
Small nuclear RNA from Pseudonaja textilis, 113 nucleotides. Its record names the gene U2. It matches the Rfam family "U2 spliceosomal RNA". Rfam says of the family: U2 is a small nuclear RNA (snRNA) component of the spliceosome (involved in pre-mRNA splicing). NCBI's taxonomy places the organism in Eukaryota, Metazoa, Chordata, Lepidosauria, Squamata, Elapidae. The record is from Ensembl.